Molecule: transfer RNA, 75 nt
Filed under: Gammaproteobacteria bacterium
Lineage: Bacteria; Pseudomonadati; Pseudomonadota; Gammaproteobacteria
Also listed under: 1 other name
Description: tRNA-Gln
Rfam family: tRNA
About the family: Transfer RNA (tRNA) molecules are approximately 80 nucleotides in length. Their secondary structure includes four short double-helical elements and three loops (D, anti-codon, and T loops). Further hydrogen bonds mediate the characteristic L-shaped molecular structure. tRNAs have two regions of fundamental functional importance: the anti-codon, which is responsible for specific mRNA codon recognition, and the 3' end, to which the tRNAs corresponding amino acid is attached (by aminoacyl-tRNA synthetases). tRNAs cope with the degeneracy of the genetic code in two manners: having more than one tRNA (with a specific anti-codon) for a particular amino acid; and 'wobble' base-pairing, i.e. permitting non-standard base-pairing at the 3rd anti-codon position.
Source: RNAcentral
UGGGGUGUCGCCAAGCGGUAAGGCAGCAGGUUUUGAUCCUGCCAUGCGUUGGUUCAAAUCCAGCCACCCCAGCCA